Long non-coding RNA from Ornithorhynchus anatinus (platypus), 260 nucleotides. RefSeq lists it as uncharacterized. The record is from RefSeq and is a predicted model, not a curated record. The transcript has 2 exons. Lineage: Eukaryota; Metazoa; Chordata; Mammalia; Monotremata; Ornithorhynchidae.
AUAGACCUUGUGGAAGAUGAAAGUUGGUUACUCUCUAUGUCCCUGCUAUGUAAUUUCAGCUCCGGUGUGGAAAGCCGACCAUGGCAGACCCGCGGAGCAGAACAGAGCUGAAUCAUCAUCCGGAAUUCAACUUCUAAAAGACGGAUUACUGGCGUGGGCACCCCUGAAUCCCGGAGGUCUCAGUCCUAGCAGGGCAGAGCUCCUUUAAUGGGUCUUGGUUUCCUGCAGUAGUAAAUAAAAAAAUAUUCAUUAGCCAAGUG